UACAUGAGUGGCGAGCGUUAUCCGUAAUUAUUGGGCGUAAAGGAUGCGUAGACGGUAAAAGUAGUUGUAAUUUUACUAUAACAGUUGUAUUGGGUCUUUUUACAAAAACCUUUUUUACUAGAGUUUUUUUUAAAGUGCACGGCAUUUGUAAACUAGUGAUAAAAUACUUUGAGUUUACAAUUAUCUUUAAGAGUGAAAACAGUAUACUAUUAAAAACUGACGUUGAGGCAUUAAAGUAUGGUCAUCCAAUAGG
RNAcentral lists this ribosomal RNA (253 nucleotides) under uncultured bacterium. RNAcentral describes it as "partial 16S ribosomal RNA". It matches the Rfam family "Bacterial small subunit ribosomal RNA", at positions 524 to 776 of the family's 1533-position model. The record is from RNAcentral.